This 1284-nucleotide ribosomal RNA is filed under the name Enterococcus faecium. RNAcentral describes it as "bacterial SSU rRNA". It matches the Rfam family "Bacterial small subunit ribosomal RNA", at positions 83 to 1354 of the family's 1533-position model. The record is from RNAcentral. Lineage: Bacteria; Bacillati; Bacillota; Bacilli; Lactobacillales; Enterococcaceae.
GGAAAAAGAGGAGUGGCGAACGGGUGAGUAACACGUGGGUAACCUGCCCAUCAGAAGGGGAUAACACUUGGAAACAGGUGCUAAUACCGUAUAACAAUCGAAACCGCAUGGUUUUGAUUUGAAAGGCGCUUUCGGGUGUCGCUGAUGGAUGGACCCGCGGUGCAUUAGCUAGUUGGUGAGGUAACGGCUCACCAAGGCCACGAUGCAUAGCCGACCUGAGAGGGUGAUCGGCCACAUUGGGACUGAGACACGGCCCAAACUCCUACGGGAGGCAGCAGUAGGGAAUCUUCGGCAAUGGACGAAAGUCUGACCGAGCAACGCCGCGUGAGUGAAGAAGGUUUUCGGAUCGUAAAACUCUGUUGUUAGAGAAGAACAAGGAUGAGAGUAACUGUUCAUCCCUUGACGGUAUCUAACCAGAAAGCCACGGCUAACUACGUGCCAGCAGCCGCGGUAAUACGUAGGUGGCAAGCGUUGUCCGGAUUUAUUGGGCGUAAAGCGAGCGCAGGCGGUUUCUUAAGUCUGAUGUGAAAGCCCCCGGCUCAACCGGGGAGGGUCAUUGGAAACUGGGAGACUUGAGUGCAGAAGAGGAGAGUGGAAUUCCAUGUGUAGCGGUGAAAUGCGUAGAUAUAUGGAGGAACACCAGUGGCGAAGGCGGCUCUCUGGUCUGUAACUGACGCUGAGGCUCGAAAGCGUGGGGAGCAAACAGGAUUAGAUACCCUGGUAGUCCACGCCGUAAACGAUGAGUGCUAAGUGUUGGAGGGUUUCCGCCCUUCAGUGCUGCAGCUAACGCAUUAAGCACUCCGCCUGGGGAGUACGACCGCAAGGUUGAAACUCAAAGGAAUUGACGGGGGCCCGCACAAGCGGUGGAGCAUGUGGUUUAAUUCGAAGCAACGCGAAGAACCUUACCAGGUCUUGACAUCCUUUGACCACUCUAGAGAUAGAGCUUCCCCUUCGGGGGCAAAGUGACAGGUGGUGCAUGGUUGUCGUCAGCUCGUGUCGUGAGAUGUUGGGUUAAGUCCCGCAACGAGCGCAACCCUUAUUGUUAGUUGCCAUCAUUCAGUUGGGCACUCUAGCAAGACUGCCGGUGACAAACCGGAGGAAGGUGGGGAUGACGUCAAAUCAUCAUGCCCCUUAUGACCUGGGCUACACACGUGCUACAAUGGGAAGUACAACGAGUUGCGAAGUCGCGAGGCUAAGCUAAUCUCUUAAAGCUUCUCUCAGUUCGGAUUGCAGGCUGCAACUCGCCUGCAUGAAGCCGGAAUCGCUAGUAAUCGCGGAUCAGCA